This 433-nucleotide ribosomal RNA is filed under the name uncultured bacterium. Its description in RNAcentral is "partial 16S ribosomal RNA". It matches the Rfam family "Bacterial small subunit ribosomal RNA", at positions 29 to 507 of the family's 1533-position model. The record is from RNAcentral.
AACGAACGCUGGCGGCAUGCCUAACACAUGCAAGUCGAACGAGACCUUCGGGUCUAGUGGCGCACGGGUGCGUAACGCGUGGGAACCUGCCCCUAGGUUCGGAAUAACUCCCCGAAAGGGGUGCUAAUACCGGAUAAUGUCUUCGGACCAAAGAUUUAUCGCCUUUGGAUGGGCCCGCGUUGGAUUAGCUAGUUGGUAGGGUAAAAGCCUACCAAGGCGACAAUCCAUAGCUGGUCUGAGAGGAUGAUCAGCCACACUGGGACUGAGACACGGCCCAGACUCCUACGGGAGGCAGCAGUGGGGAAUAUUGGACAAUGGGCGAAAGCCUGAUCCAGCAAUGCCGCGUGAGUGAUGAAGGCCUUAGGGUUGUAAAGCUCUUUUACCCGGGAUGAUAAUGACAGUACCGGGAGAAUAAGCUCCGGCUAACUCCGUG